UACGUAGGGGCCGAGCGUUGUCCGGAGUUAUUGGGCGUAAAGCGCGCGCAGGCGGCUUGGCGCGCCCGACGUGAAAGCCCCCGGCUUAACCGGGGAGAGUCGUCGGGGACGGCCGGGCUUGAGGGCGGGAGAGGGUGGUGGAAUUCCCGGUGUAGUGGUGAAAUGCGUAGAGAUCGGGAGGAACACCUGUGGCGAAGGCGGCUAUCUGGACGGUUUCUGACGCUAAGACGCGAAAGCGUGGGGAGCAAACAGG
This 253-nucleotide ribosomal RNA is filed under the name uncultured bacterium. RNAcentral describes it as "partial 16S ribosomal RNA". It matches the Rfam family "Bacterial small subunit ribosomal RNA", at positions 524 to 776 of the family's 1533-position model. The record is from RNAcentral.